AGUCGACUGGAAUUCACCUUCGGGUGAUAGUACGGUGGCGGACGGGUGAGUAACGCGUAAAGAACUUGCCCUCUAGACUGGGACAACUGUUGGAAACGACGCUAAUACCGGAUAUUAUGAGAUUCUCGCAUGGGAAACUUAUGAAAGGCUAUAUGCGCUAGAGGAGAGCUUUGCGUGCCAUUAGGUAGUUGGUAGGGUAAUGGCCUACCAAGCCGACGAUGGCUAGCCGGCCUGAGAGGGUGAUCGGCACAGGGGACUGAGACACGCCCUUACUCCUACGGAGGCAGCAGUGGGGAAUAUUGGACUGGACAAAGUCUGAU
This 320-nucleotide ribosomal RNA is filed under the name uncultured Fusobacteriaceae bacterium. RNAcentral describes it as "bacterial SSU rRNA". It matches the Rfam family "Bacterial small subunit ribosomal RNA", at positions 60 to 387 of the family's 1533-position model. Lineage: Bacteria; Fusobacteriati; Fusobacteriota; Fusobacteriia; Fusobacteriales; Fusobacteriaceae. The record is from RNAcentral.